Molecule: long non-coding RNA, 821 nt
Organism: Hippocampus comes (tiger tail seahorse)
Lineage: Eukaryota; Metazoa; Chordata; Actinopteri; Syngnathiformes; Syngnathidae
Exons: 3
Source: RefSeq, a predicted model, not a curated record
CGUGGAUGAAAAGCAGCAAUGGGCAAAAGAGUAGCCUUGGGGACAUUUUGUUGGUUUGUGAGAAGGAGCGGCAGAUCCACGAUCGGCGCGGAUCCGACAGAGAAUUUGAGAGUUCACGGAGGCAAUCAAGAGUUUCUUUCGCUUUCUUGAGUCGCCUUUCAUAGCGGCCUUGGAAGCGGCACCACAACCUCCUUCCACCAGAAUGUGUCCAAUUUCCAAAGCUGUGUGCCCUAUUUCAUCAUGUCUAGCUCGGGAGCACGAUCAUCAGCCUGAAGAUGAGUGCACAACAUGCCGGUGUGUACACUGUCAACAUCCUGCUGCCUGCUGCCCUAAUCAAGGCCCACAUCGACAGCGGUGACACUCAACAGAGCCGUGCAGUUGUGUUUUUAGCAGGGAGGAACUAAGAGCUAGUCUUCCUUUUUUUUUUUUUUUGGUUAAGCAUUAAUUAGGUUGCAUUUUUUUUUUUUUUUUGCACCCCCUUAAGGGCUGGGAGGGAAUCUGAUUCUGAACGUGGGCUCAUCUGACCCUUUUGACACCUGAACAGCUUUGGAUAGGCGUAAAAGUUGUUCUUAAGAAACAAUCAUUUUUAAACAUUCCACACUUCAUGACUUUUUUUUGGGCUCAUUUUCUGGAGUCUUGAGACAUUGUUGAAGGCCUAACAGGAUUGCGGGUGAAUUCUGAUCUGAAUGUGCGAUAGCAGAAAUGCUCUUCUGGAACUGGAACAAAUGCACACAAUAUGCGCCAUUAUGGUCCCUUUGCUCUACAACUGGUCCAGUCUUUUGAGUAAACGCAGUGUAAAAAUAAACUUGAUUUCGAUGUCA